CAUCGUCUCAUCUCUUUGGCUCAGUGCCAUGGAGACCACCAGUGCCAGUUCCUGGGAAUGCCUACCACUAUCCUUCAUAUCCUGCGACCAUGCCCUUGGCUGGAGGAAUGCCAGGUGGAGUGCACAAUCAGUUCAUACCUCUGCAGGUUACAAAAAAAAGAGUUGCAAACAAAAAGAAUUUUGAGAAUAAGGAGGCCCAGAGUUCUCAAGCCACACCACUUCAGACUAACAAGCCAGGGUCUUCUGAAGCCACCAGAAUGACUCCACAAGAAGGUUCACCAGCGUCUUCAGCGUCCUCUCAGGCUACCCAGCCUGUGUCUUCUCACGUUGAAACUGCAUCCCAAGGCCAUGUUGUGUCCCACCAGAGGUCAGCUCCAAGCUCCUCAAGAAGGAAAUCAAGAAAAUUGGCUGUCAACUUUAGUGUUUCUAAACCUUCUGAAUAAAUUUGGUACCUGGGAAUUUAUUUCUUUUAUCUCCAUCUACCUUUUGAUAAAUUGAUAUCUAUGUAUCAAAAAUGUACUAUUUUAGGAUGUUAGAUUUGAUAUUUUUUAUUUUUAAGUUAUUAGGCACUUUUCAUGCUAUUUAAGACUAUAUAUCAAAUUGUGCACUUUAAAUAUGUGCAAUUUGUUGUACAUCAGUGAUACCUCAAUAAAGCUGUAAAAAAGAGAAAAUUAAA
Molecule: long non-coding RNA, 676 nt
Filed under: Rattus norvegicus (Norway rat)
Lineage: Eukaryota; Metazoa; Chordata; Mammalia; Rodentia; Muridae
Description: long non-coding RNA NONRATT027957
Source: RNAcentral